CUCUGCAGUGCUACUCACCUCUGCAAGCAGAGCAAUCAAUGGAACUGCCAGCCAGACUUUAUGAUUUUCAGAAAUUCACAGCCAAAGCUUCCAGUCAACUAGUGGGACUUACCACCAGGAAAAGAAUCCUUGAGGAAGACAAAGUACCACCGAUGCGGCAGAGAGGGCCUCAAGAUGGCUGUGGCUCAAAAGAGGGGAGCCAUGGAGUCAUAAGUAGCUAGCCAUCUGGACACAAGCUGGGGUCUGAUCAGCCCCAGCUGGGUCACCUGGAGGAGGUUGUAUGAUGUUGAAAGACCCGAAACACCCGAUGAUUCCAGGAACAUCACUGAAGAUAUGUCCAGAAGCAUCAAUAGAUGUAUGUACACAGCAGUAUACAAAAUUUAUGUUUUGCUAAAAUGAAUGCAAUGCAUAAUACUUUGUUCCUGCUCAUUGUGCAACUUUGCUUUGAAUGCCACCAGCAGCAUGCUGAUCACUAAUGCUG
Molecule: long non-coding RNA, 481 nt
Organism: Mobula hypostoma (lesser devil ray)
Lineage: Eukaryota; Metazoa; Chordata; Chondrichthyes; Myliobatiformes; Myliobatidae
Exons: 3
Source: RefSeq, a predicted model, not a curated record